RNAcentral lists this ribosomal RNA (488 nucleotides) under uncultured bacterium. Its description in RNAcentral is "partial 16S ribosomal RNA". It matches the Rfam family "Bacterial small subunit ribosomal RNA", at positions 28 to 507 of the family's 1533-position model. The record is from RNAcentral.
GACGAACGCUGGCGGCGUGCUUAACACAUGCAAGUCGAACGGAAGGGCGCUGCUUUGGUCGGGUGCUCGAGUGGCGAACGGGUGAGUAACACAUGAGUAACCUUCCCGUGGCGGGGGGAUAACUGGAGAAAACCGGGGCUAAUACCGGAUAGGAGCUCCGGCUGAAGGGGGGGGGUUGGAAAGUUCGGGCGGUUGGGGAUGGAGGUGCGGCUUAUCAGCUAGUGGGUGGGGUAGUGGCCUACAAGGGCGUUGACGGGUAGCCGGUCUGAGAGGGGGACCAGCGACCCUGGAAGGUGGACACGGCCCAGACUCCUACGGUAGGCAGCAGUGGGGAAUGUUGGACAAUGGUCGAAAGCCUGGUCCAGCGAGGCCACGUGUGUGAAGAAGGCGUUCGGUUUGUAAAGCACUUUUUUCGGUUAUGAACCGCUUUGCCCUAUUACGAUGCGGGGGUGACGGUACCGGGAGAAUAAGCACCGGCUAACUACGUG